AUUUAUUUUUGUAUGAUUUGUUUCUUCUCAUUUUUCAUCCAUUUUCAAACCAGUUAAAGUAAAACUACUCUAAAGUAUCAUGUGUUGUCAUGUUUGAACUAUUAUUUGUGAGAAAUACUUUAGUGUAUUUCCUGUUGGGUCAAAAGUGAAGGUGUAGGUUUUCUGUGGUCAGAGAUGGUGCUGAUAGGAAGACUCCUCUGGAGGAGGAAACACAGGAUGAACCAGCAGGGGAGGUGUUGGAUGUGGGCCGUCACAGAGAAAGACGCCGUUUCAGUCUCACUGGGUUCUGCACGGCAGCUGUCAGCAACUUCAGGAGCUGAAGAAACAAAUCCAGACGUUUCCUCACAGCGACACAGCGGCAGCUCUGCUGUGGACAACAUGAAGAAUCCUGCAGACGUGAACAGGCUGAAGGAGGCGGGCCUGGGCUUUGCUUUGGGGGCGUUAGGAGGAUGCAUUCUGGGCGUCACUGAGGAUCCAGUAGACCGGAUCCUCCUGGCGAUGACCGCAGAAGGUCCGCUGACUCCUGUGAUGCAGGAGGUGCAGACGGUGGGUCCUCUGGGUCUCGGCACUCUCCUGGGAGCCGCGGCGUUGACCGCGGCGACCACGUCGGUUAUAGCCGGCGUGAUUCUGGCUGCGGCGGCGGCUUCGGUGUUUGUGGCCCUGAAGAACUGCGGGGCCUCCUUCACGCCAUCUGCCGGCUUGUGGGUGUCGGCGGGGGUCGCCGGCGCCUUCGGGACCACGUUAAGCGGAGCUACCUUUGGGGCCGCCGUUGAAUGGAUCGUAAACCGGUACAGCAUGCUGGGACUGUUCUGGACUUUGAGCCUGUUUACAGUCCUCAAACCUCCUCUUAGCUUCCUCUUCAAAAUCCUCUGGAGCCAAGGAGAAGCAUGCUGCCGUCUGGGGUCAGAGGUCAGCUCCAGGGAAGUGGCGGAGUGGCAGCAGAGACAGCGGAUGGUCCUGCAGAUGGAGCGGAGGAUCCUGGCUCUGGAGAAAGGAGCGGAUUCCAGGGAAACACCCGCCUACGAGCAAAGGGAGAGGGCGGAGCUAGAGAGGAGGAGGGCGGAGAAGGAAGAAGCUGAGAUGCAGCAGAGAACCGUCCAAGACUGGAUCAACACGGUGCUGAUCAAGCACGUCGACUUCCUGGCCUUCUCUGGAAUCCCCAUGACAGUGGUUGCCACAGUAACCGCGGGGUUCGGCAUGUUUGGUUACGGAGACCAUCAGGCCGCGCUCGUAGUUCUUUUGGUUUUAGUUGCAAUCAUCACGUAUGUUCUUCUGAGCUCCUCCAACUUUAAGUUCUGGAUGCUGGUGGGAUGUAUGGGCAUGUUAGCGACCUUCGUCAUCGCCAUGCUGACUCUGCAGGCCGGCCAGGCAGCCCUGAUGGACGCCAAGAGGAUGAGGGCGGAGGGGCGGAGCCAAAGCCGAGAGGACAUCGGCAGCAGGAUGAACCUCCAGUCCUCUCUGGAAGCUCUGAACGCAGCUUUCUUUGUGGCCAAACUGUGUCAGUUGAGUCUGGGGGCUACAGUUGGGGGGGCCCUGGUGAGGCGAGGAGCGGGGGGGGCUAAAGUGAUAGCGGGGGCAGCGGCGCUGGCUGGAAGUCUGCUAACGGGACAAGCGGUUUUGGCCCCCGCUCUGAGCGCGGGGGGGAACGCCGGAGCGCUGCUGGGUGUGGUCGCCACGGCGGGGGUGUCUGCCGGGGGGGCGGCGGCUGCAGCUGGAGGCUCCUCCUCCUGGUGGGGAACUUUAGCAACAGUGGGGGGGUUGGUUUUAGGGGCGUCGGCUUUGGGGAAAUGGCACGCCGUUAACAUUGGACUGCAGGUGCCGGCGGCGUUCGUCUUCGCCAUGAUCAAUCCGUUUUAGUCCGUUUGUCCUCAGAUGAUCAAAUCCUGAACUUGAAGGAAAAGGAAGUGAUGAAGAGGUAGUUUAGAGAAUCGGUGCUCUUUAAAAGAAUAUUUAUCAACAAUGUGUCAUUUUAUUAGAACUUUACAUAUUUAUUUGAUUGUUUACCGAAUACAAACAUAUAAAUAAUGUUUUAUAAAACUGAAAGAAAUUAGAAAAAACAUCACUCAAGAUGGAGGUUUCACCUGGAAAUACUUCAUCAAAUCUUUAAUGAAAUAUAUGUUGAAAUAUGAGAUUGAAAUGAACUAAAUAUAGAAAUGAACUACGGUUGUAUUUACUGAAAGAAAGAAACCACAAAUGCUGACAACAAUAAAGAUUUACUGUCAUAAUCAUUAAAAAAAGGCUUCAAAUAAUCAUAAUAAUUUAUAAUAAUAAAAAACUUCAGAAAAUUAAUGGAAAAUAAAUAAAAUCUUACCUUUCAUUCCUUUAAAAUGUAUCAGUCUUGGAAAAAAAAAAAACAAGUCAUGAAUAUGUAUAUAUGUUUG
Molecule: long non-coding RNA, 2381 nt
Organism: Oryzias javanicus (javanese ricefish)
Lineage: Eukaryota; Metazoa; Chordata; Actinopteri; Beloniformes; Adrianichthyidae
Source: Ensembl